GACGAACGCUGGCGGCGUGCUUAACACAUGCAAGUCGAGCGGUAAGGCCCUUUCGGGGGUACACGAGCGGCGAACGGGUGAGUAAUACGUGGGUGACCUGCCCUCAGCUCUGGGAUAAGCCUGGGAAACCGGGUCUAAUACCGGAUAUGACUCCAUGACGCAUGUUGUGGGGUGGAAAGCCUUGUGCGGCUGAGGAUGGGCCCGCGGCCUAUCAGCUUGUUGGUGGGGUGANGGCCUACCAAGGCGACGACGGGUAGCCGGCCUGAGAGGGCGACCGGCCACACUGGGACUGAGACACGGCCCAGACUCCUACGGGAGGCAGCAGUGGGGAAUCUUGCGCAAUGGGCGAAAGCCUGACGCAGCGACGCCGCGU
Molecule: ribosomal RNA, 373 nt
Filed under: uncultured bacterium
Lineage: Bacteria
Description: bacterial SSU rRNA
Rfam family: Bacterial small subunit ribosomal RNA
Source: RNAcentral